Molecule: non-coding RNA, 275 nt
Organism: Erythranthe guttata (spotted monkey flower)
Lineage: Eukaryota; Viridiplantae; Streptophyta; Magnoliopsida; Lamiales; Phrymaceae
Source: RefSeq, a predicted model, not a curated record
UCUUUCGUGGUUGUGUACCUAAGAAAAUUUCGGUCUAUGAUGUUGCUUUUGGUGCUAACUCGAGCUAUGUUGGCGAAAUUCUGAGAAAUAGUAAACCUUCUGCCGCACCUGUUUUCGGAGUUGAAAUCGAAGGAUUUGGAGUGAGAUUUUCGAAUCAGUCUCUUCACAAAACUCGUCGAGGACCGUGAUAAUUAUAUGUGGAGCUGAUACAGAAAAUAAUAUUAGAUUAUCGGGUGUUGCUCACGUUUAUACGAGAUUUAUUUAUCGUGGAUCCA